AGGGGAAGGGAAGAAACUCUGUUAUGUAUAACUCAUUUCAUGUUUGAGUUUUGUUUGAAUACUUUUAUGUCAGAAUAUAGAAAGAAGAUUAUUUUUUUCACUACUCUUCGAUGAUCAAUUGAGUACAAAAACUCAUCAUUUGAGAAUGACCUACAAAGAAACAUCCCCAAGAUGUUUUCUGCUGUUCUACAUUCUAUACAGAAAAGCCAAGCAUGAUUGGAUAGGGAAGGCACUCUUUGCCCAAGGGGACCCAAUCCAUUGCUUUUUGACGUCAAUAAGACUGUGGCUCUUUCAAGGACGUGCAUUUAUCUUGUCAAUGUGGUCUAACCAACCAGCCUUGCUUCUCUGCUCUGAUCUCUCACAGGAUGUUCUUGAUGAUCUGGGAAAAAAGAAAAGGCCCACUGAAGUUCCUGGCUUCUAUGAUGUCAUGUGGCAUUCAACUCUUUAA
This 448-nucleotide long non-coding RNA is filed under the name Calidris pugnax (ruff). RNAcentral describes it as "lncRNA (ENSCPUG00000002548.1)". The record is from RNAcentral. Lineage: Eukaryota; Metazoa; Chordata; Aves; Charadriiformes; Scolopacidae.